Molecule: ribosomal RNA, 496 nt
Filed under: uncultured bacterium
Lineage: Bacteria
Description: partial 16S ribosomal RNA
Rfam family: Bacterial small subunit ribosomal RNA
Source: RNAcentral
AUUGAACGCUGGCGGAAUGCUUUACACAUGCAAGUCGAACGGUAGAGGGGGCAACCCCUCGAGAGUGGCGAACGGGUGAGUAAUAUAUCGGAACGUGCCCAGUCGUGGGGGAUAACGUAGCGAAAGUUACGCUAAUACCGCAUACGAUCUAAGGAUGAAAGCGGGGGAUCGCAAGACCUCGCGCGAUUGGAGCGGCCGAUAUCAGAUUAGGUAGUUGGUGGGGUAAAGGCUCAGCAAGCCAACGAUCUGUAGCUGGUCUGAGAGGACGACCAGCCAAACUGGAACUCAGACACGGUCCAGACUCCUACGGGAGGCAGCAGUGGGGAAUUUUGGACAAUGGACGCAAGUCUGAUUCACCCAUUCCGCGUGCAGGAUGAAGGCCCUCGGGUUGUAAACUGCUUUUGUACGGAACGAAAAGGUCUCUCUUAAUACGGGGGGCUCAUGGCGGUACCGUAAGAAUAAGCACCGGCUAACUACGUGCCAGCCGCCGCAGUAA